AACCCAGUGGUGUAAUUGGUAGCAGGGUCGCUUUGUAUUUACGAAGGUCAGGCGGUGCGGGUUCGAAUCCCGUCUGAGGAG
This 81-nucleotide transfer RNA is filed under the name Colletotrichum noveboracense. RNAcentral describes it as "tRNA-Xxx". Lineage: Eukaryota; Fungi; Ascomycota; Sordariomycetes; Glomerellales; Glomerellaceae. The record is from RNAcentral.